This 253-nucleotide ribosomal RNA is filed under the name uncultured bacterium. Its description in RNAcentral is "partial 16S ribosomal RNA". It matches the Rfam family "Bacterial small subunit ribosomal RNA", at positions 524 to 776 of the family's 1533-position model. The record is from RNAcentral.
GACGUAGGGCGCGAGCGUUGUUCGGAUUUAUUGGGCGUAAAGAGCUCGUAGGCGGCUCGUUGCGUCGGCUGUGAAAACCCGCAGCUCAACUGUGGGCUUGCAGCUGAUACGGGCGGGCUGGGAUUCGGUAGGGGAGACUGGAAUUCCUGGUGUAGCGGUGAAAUGCGCAGAUAUCAGGAGGAACACCGGUGGCGAAGGCGGGUCUCUGGGCCGAUAUCGACGCUGAGGAGCGAAAGCGUGGGGAGCGAACAGG